Molecule: transfer RNA, 73 nt
Filed under: Alphaproteobacteria bacterium
Lineage: Bacteria; Pseudomonadati; Pseudomonadota; Alphaproteobacteria
Description: tRNA-Leu
Rfam family: tRNA
About the family: Transfer RNA (tRNA) molecules are approximately 80 nucleotides in length.
Source: RNAcentral
AGCGCAGAAAACGGCCACUUUUGUCAGGCUCAUAACCUGAAGGUCGCAGGUUCAAAUCCUGCCCCCGCAACCA